AUUGAACGCUGGCGGCAUGCCUUACACAUGCAAGUCGAACGGUAACGCGGGGGCAACCCUGGCGACGAGUGGCGAACGGGUGAGUAAUACAUCGGAACGUACCCAGUAGUGGGGGAGUAGCUCGGCGAAAGCCGGAUUAAUACCGCAUACGACCUAUGGGUGAAAGCGGGGGAUCGCAAGACCUCGCGCUAUUGGAGCGGCCGAUGUCGGAUUAGCUAGUUGGUGAGGUAAAGGCNCACCAAGGCUACGAUCCGUAGCUGGUCUGAGAGGACGACCAGCCACACUGGGACUGAGACACGGCCCAGACUCCUACGGGAGGCAGCAGUGGGGAAUUUUUGGACAAUGGGCGCAAGCCUGAUCCAGCCAUGCCGCGUGUGUG
This 379-nucleotide ribosomal RNA is filed under the name uncultured bacterium. Its description in RNAcentral is "bacterial SSU rRNA". It matches the Rfam family "Bacterial small subunit ribosomal RNA", at positions 29 to 407 of the family's 1533-position model. The record is from RNAcentral.